This is a small nuclear RNA of Lycium barbarum (goji berry), 103 nucleotides long. Lineage: Eukaryota; Viridiplantae; Streptophyta; Magnoliopsida; Solanales; Solanaceae. The record is from RefSeq and is a predicted model, not a curated record.
GUCCCAUCAGGGACAUCUGAUAAAAAUUGGAACAAUGCAGAGAAGAUUAGCACGGCCCCUGUGAAAGAAUGACAAGUGACAAGCACAAACGGAGAGUUGGUGU